This 425-nucleotide ribosomal RNA is filed under the name uncultured bacterium. RNAcentral's name for it is "partial 16S ribosomal RNA". It matches the Rfam family "Bacterial small subunit ribosomal RNA", at positions 354 to 796 of the family's 1533-position model. The record is from RNAcentral.
GUGGGGAAUAUUGCGCAAUGGGCGAAAGCCUGACGCAGCGACGCCGCGUGAAGGAAGACGUACUUCGGUAUGUAAACUUCUAUCAGCAGGGAAGAAGAUGACGGUACCUGACUAAGAAGCCCCGGCUAACUACGUGCCAGCAGCCGCGGUAAUACGUAGGGGGCAAGCGUUAUCCGGAUUUACUGGGUGUAAAGGGAGCGUAGACGGUGAAGCAAGUCUGAUGUGAAAACCCGGGGCUCAACUCCGGGAUUGCAUUGGAAACUGUUUUACUUGAGUGCUGGAGGGGCAAGCGGAAUUCCUGGUGUAGCGGUGAAAUGCGUAGAUAUCAGGAAGAACACCGGUGGCGAAGGCGGCUUGCUGGACAGUAACUGACGUUGAGGCUCGAAAGCGUGGGGAGCAAACAGGAUUAGAUACCCGGGUAGUCC